RNAcentral lists this long non-coding RNA (464 nucleotides) under Chloebia gouldiae (Gouldian finch). RNAcentral describes it as "Erythrura gouldiae (Gouldian finch) lncRNA (ENSEGOG00005015376.1)". Lineage: Eukaryota; Metazoa; Chordata; Aves; Passeriformes; Passeridae. The record is from RNAcentral.
CUGGCCCUGGGCUCCUGCUGAAACGAGACACUGGACAGCCCCACCUCACUCAACCUGUUUAUCCUGUUGCAGGGACCUGAGGACGGGGAACCAGCGGCUCCCUCUCACCUGCAGCUCUCUCUUCGGGCAUUUCUGAGCUCUCUGCAUGAGGGAUUGCUGUGUGUGUGAACCCUGAGCUCCCUGGGACCAGGCCGGGUGAAACAGAGAGGAGGGAGGUCAGCGGAUGGCCCUGGGCAGCCCAGCAUCGUCCUGCGCUGGGAUCCCCAGGCAGAGCCACAGCGAAGCCCCGAGCGAGGCUUUCACCUCUGCGGCGAGGAUCAAUGAGUGGAAGGAAUAAAUCAAAGCCAUCAAAUGACACUUGUGUGAAAUCCAGAGUCUGGGUCUAAAAGACUGGGGUUUGGAUCAAAAGAUGUCAUUCUUCACACGGAUGGAAGCAGGUGGAUAAAGAUGUAUCUCUGGAGCAG